RNAcentral lists this transfer RNA (65 nucleotides) under Dipodomys ordii (Ord's kangaroo rat). It matches the Rfam family "tRNA". Rfam says of the family: Transfer RNA (tRNA) molecules are approximately 80 nucleotides in length. Their secondary structure includes four short double-helical elements and three loops (D, anti-codon, and T loops). Lineage: Eukaryota; Metazoa; Chordata; Mammalia; Rodentia; Heteromyidae. The record is from Rfam by way of RNAcentral.
GGUGGCUCAGUGGUAGAGUGCUUGUCUUGCAUGCAUGAGGUCCUGGGUUCCAUUCCUCAGCACCA